This 206-nucleotide unclassified non-coding RNA is filed under the name soil metagenome. RNAcentral describes it as "partial contains 5.8S ribosomal RNA, internal transcribed spacer 2, and large subunit ribosomal RNA". The record is from RNAcentral.
AACAUCGCGCACCUGCGGGAACCUGCGGAAGGAUCAUUAUCGAGUUGCAAAACUCCAACCCUUUGUGAACAUACCUCAGUCGUUGCUUCGGCGGUGGACGGCCUGUUUUUCGGAACGGCCGGAAGCCGCCGGAGGUUCCAAACUCGUAUUUUUUAGUGUAUCUCUGAGCCUGAAAACAAAUAAUCAAAACUUUCAACAAUGGAUCU